AAGUAUCUCCGAGUCUCUCCUGUGACGGGGGAGAUAGGAGUAACGGCUGGUUGGCACAGCCAUCGACGGUCUUGUUUGACACGGAAACUGGUGCGUUCACACCUCAAGAACACAUAACGUCGUAAACCACAAUAUCCCACCGCGGGAAUCCUCGCCCUUCAGGGCGGGAG
Halostagnicola larsenii XH-48 is the source of this 170-nucleotide small RNA. It matches the Rfam family "Sense overlapping transcript RNA 0042 (sot)". From Rfam's summary of the family: It is associated with IS1341-type transposase (tnpB) genes, at the 3'-end in H. salinarum NRC-1. The record is from Rfam. Lineage: Archaea; Methanobacteriati; Methanobacteriota; Halobacteria; Halobacteriales; Natrialbaceae.